UCAAAAUAAGAAAAGUAUUGUAAUCAUCCUCUUCCUCUUCGUCUCCUUCUUAUCCUUUUCCUUCUCCUUAUCUCUCUCCUUCUUCUCCUUCUUCUUCUUGUUCUUGUUCUUCUUCUUCUUCUUCUUGUUCUUCUUCUUAUUCGUCUUCUUGUUCUUCUUCUUCUUCUUCUUCUUCUUCUUCUUCUUCUCCUCCUCCUCCUCCUCCUCCUUCUUCUUCUCCUAUUUCUUCUUCUCAUUAGCUUAUUUUCCCCAAGAAAGGCAUACUUAGCUAAUUAUCCUCCAAAAUGACAUAAUUAGCUAAUUUAGUUC
Molecule: long non-coding RNA, 309 nt
Filed under: Hordeum vulgare
Lineage: Eukaryota; Viridiplantae; Streptophyta; Magnoliopsida; Poales; Poaceae
Description: long non-coding RNA (HVUL_LNC012490)
Source: RNAcentral